This 477-nucleotide ribosomal RNA is filed under the name uncultured organism. RNAcentral describes it as "partial 16S ribosomal RNA". It matches the Rfam family "Bacterial small subunit ribosomal RNA", at positions 330 to 799 of the family's 1533-position model. The record is from RNAcentral.
CGUACACUCCUACGGGAGGCAGCAGUAGGGAAUCUUCCACAAUGGGUGCAAACCUGAUGGAGCAAUGCCGCGUGAGUGAAGAAGGUCUUCGGAUCGUAAAGCUCUGUUGUUAGAGAAGAACACGUGCUAGGUAACUACUAGCGCCUUGACGGUAUCUAACCAGAAAGUCACGGCUAACUACGUGCCAGCAGCCGCGGUAAUACGUAGGUGACAAGCGUUGUCCGGAUUUAUUGGGCGUAAAGGGAGCGCAGGCGGUCUGUUUAGUCUAAUGUGAAAGCCCACGGCUUAACCGUGGAACGGCAUUGGAAACUGACAGACUUGAAUGUAGAAGAGGAAAAUGGAAUUCCAAGUGUAGCGGUGGAAUGCGUAGAUAUUUGGAGGAACACCAGUGGCGAAGGCGAUUUUCUGGUCUAACAUUGACGCUGAGGCUCGACAGCGUGGGGAGCGAACAGGAUUAGAAACCCUUGUAGUCCCAUG